AUCUUGGUCGAUCACUUGCUUAAAGUAAACAAUUUACCUUUUUCUGUUUUGCUCAAAUCCCUUUUAAUUAACACUGGCUAGUUAGCUUUAUUCCCAAAUAGAAUUCUGUAAUUCCUUCUUCUCUUUCUUCAUUUUCUUUGAUUUUUUCCCAUCGUAAAGCUUCCUUCCUUCCUUACUUUCCUCUGCCGUAGCUGAACUUCGAACCCCCAUCCGACUCCACCUUCAGCAUCACCACCACUCCUCAUCUUCCAUACGACGCCACCAGUGAGCUGAGCUCUGACGACAUGGAAGAUCGCCGCCGCCUGCCAACGGAGUGGCGACCAACAGAAGAAGAAGAAGGAGUAGUCCGUCUCCCGUAAACAGAGUCCCUUGCGAACCGACGGCUGACGGAGACUGGCCAGCGGAGGCGACCUUAAACCAUGGGAAAUUGGUGACGUGGCUUCGGGCGAACGAUUCUCUCCCUGAGGUUCGUUCUGGGUUUCGUGCAGCUUGCUAUAGAUCAGGCAAAGCUUGAUUUGGACAGCCUUGAAGUUCGAGUUGGGUAAAACUGAUUUUCAGUAACCAGCUGUGUGAUUGUUGAGGAAGGGCACAUUAUUGCAGCAGGAAGAAACAGGACUAAUGAGAAGCAGAAUGUAACAAGACGUGCAGAAUUGGAAGCUCUUGAUGUUCUUCUUGAACACUGGCGGAGGACUGGAUUUUCGUCUGCAAAAGUUGCAGAGAAGUUUUCAGCAUACUCCCUUUAUGUGACAUGUGAAGCAUGACAUGUGCAGCAGCAUUAUCAAUUAUUGGAAGUAUAUUAUGGCUGUGCAAAAGAUAAAUUUGGAGGCUGUUGCAUUCAAGUAGCUCCAAGGCAUGCAUUAGUAAUGGAAAUUCUGGAUCAAAGUGUUUCAAAUGUUGUGGAGUAAAAGAUGUUGUACCCUUGGUCUGGAGAAUUAUCUACUCACAUCCCAGCUCCAAAGCCUCACACGGCACGGGUUACUCAGGCUUCUCACUAGAUCUGCGUGCAUUGAUUCUUCCUGUUGAAUACUCUCAUGGCUUUGCAUGACUAGAAUUUCAUCAAGGAACCGUGAAACGAAGCAUGAUGCUUGUCCAUAUCAGUAUUUGCCUGGAUGUUCAUGUGUUUGCAGAGGGUUACAGUUGUGAUUGGAAGUCCAUUUCUUGCUUUAACUUGAGUAUCAUAUUGUUAAGAUAAUUUAAGGUAUAAACUGUGUAGGCAUUCUGAUGCUAAUAUUUGUCAUCAACGUAUUCUGUAAUCUAGCUUAUUUUUUUUA
Molecule: long non-coding RNA, 1271 nt
Organism: Syzygium oleosum
Lineage: Eukaryota; Viridiplantae; Streptophyta; Magnoliopsida; Myrtales; Myrtaceae
Exons: 9
Source: RefSeq, a predicted model, not a curated record